Cyprinus carpio (common carp) is the source of this 257-nucleotide long non-coding RNA. RefSeq lists it as uncharacterized. Lineage: Eukaryota; Metazoa; Chordata; Actinopteri; Cypriniformes; Cyprinidae. The record is from RefSeq and is a predicted model, not a curated record. The transcript has 3 exons.
GUUCGAGUUUAUCAUCUCCAUCUGUCUGUCAGCAUUUUGCCUGUAAAGCCAGUGUCUACAGUUCUCCUUCUCUGGUGCAGUUUGCGCAGGUUUUAUCACCACAGUCCUCUGAUUUCACGCGUUUUCAUGAUCUUAACAUCUCAGAGACAACUGUGGCAAGCAGCUCUUCCAUUCAUCAUCAGCCUGCAGACACUCCUCCACAAUACAGUGAAUCCAAAUAAAUAUGAAUAAGUGGGCUGUUACCUUAUGAAACAAAA